AUUAUGAUAGAAAGAUGGAGUCCCAAGAAUUCCAGGUGCAAAAUCAUGGACCACAGGCUUAUAAUAUCUCUGUCCUUGAUUGUUGUUAAAUUUCCCUUUCCCUUUAUACUUUGACCGAUUUCCACCAUUGAAAAAAUUGGAUUGUCCAGGUUGACCAGUAAAUCCAAAAUUACCACCAUUGUUGAUUGUCGGAGAAUGACUAUGAAGACCAUUUGUAAAAGAAUUCCCAACAGCAUAACUUUAUGAGCCUUGACUAUUGUUCUUGGCCAUCAUUGCAGACAUAAAGGGCAUCGAGGCAGUGUUCUCAACAGUGGCUUCCUCUGCAAGUAAUUGAGAACGAAACUCCUUGAGAGAUAUAACAUUUUCCCUUCCACGAAUAACACAUCUGAACGUGUUAUAUUCGGCAGGAAGACCAUUGAGAGCCAAGAUCACAAUAUCAUCAUCGACAAAGAUAACUCCUGCAGCUGCAAGAAAAUCUCGUGCUGCUUUAAUACGUUGAAGAUAAAUGGACACAGAAUCAGAACCCUUUUUUUAUGUUCUGAAGGUCAACUUUCAUCUGAAAGAUGGAUGUACGACUAAUAGUAGAGAAUUGUUCUUGAAGCCGAAUCCAAAGAUCCCUUGAGCUAGUACUACUGCCUAUGGCACAAGAAAUGGCUGAGGAUGACAAAGUUGCAGUAAGAAGUUGCAUAAGAGCCCUAUCAUGCAUCUUCCAAAUUUUAUACUCAUCAGUUUCAGUUUGUGGAGUUGAAGAUGUAGAGGUUAGGUCCGAAUUAGGAGACCCAGAUGAAGAAAACUGAGGAGGACACACAUUGGUGCCAUCGACAAACCCCAUGAUUCCAUAUCCUUCAAGCAUUAAUUGCAACUGAAACUGCCAUUGAAGAUAAUUGAAAUCAUCCAACUUCACAG
RNAcentral lists this long non-coding RNA (906 nucleotides) under Malus domestica (apple). Its description in RNAcentral is "long non-coding RNA (MDOM_LNC014767)". The record is from RNAcentral. Lineage: Eukaryota; Viridiplantae; Streptophyta; Magnoliopsida; Rosales; Rosaceae.